CGAAAUAGCUUUAGGGCUAGCGUCGCAGCGAGAGAGCCGUGAAGGUAGAGCACUGAAUAUGCGAUGGCCGCAUCCCGCGGUACUGAGCAUAAUCAAACUCCGAAUGUCACGGUGUCAUCUGCGGCAGUCAGACGGCGAGUGAUAAGGUCCGUCGUCAAGAGGGAAACAGCCCAGACCAUCAGCUAAGGUCCCAAAGUGCAUGCUAAGUGGAAAAGGAAGUGGAGACGUGCAGACAACUAGGAGGUUGGCUCAG
RNAcentral lists this ribosomal RNA (253 nucleotides) under Bicosoecida sp. CB-2014. Its description in RNAcentral is "partial Bacterial large subunit ribosomal RNA". It matches the Rfam family "Bacterial large subunit ribosomal RNA", at positions 860 to 1109 of the family's 2925-position model. Lineage: Eukaryota; Bigyra; Bicosoecida. The record is from RNAcentral.